UAUCAUCCUGAACACUCCCGCUGUCAUUGGAUAUCGGAAGCUGAGGAGGGUAAGGUCUGAUUAGUAGUGAGAUGGGAGACCACCAAGGAAUGCCAGAG
Molecule: ribosomal RNA, 98 nt
Filed under: Pogona vitticeps (central bearded dragon)
Lineage: Eukaryota; Metazoa; Chordata; Lepidosauria; Squamata; Agamidae
Source: RNAcentral